This 73-nucleotide transfer RNA is filed under the name Neotoma lepida (desert woodrat). It matches the Rfam family "tRNA". From Rfam's summary of the family: Transfer RNA (tRNA) molecules are approximately 80 nucleotides in length. Their secondary structure includes four short double-helical elements and three loops (D, anti-codon, and T loops). Lineage: Eukaryota; Metazoa; Chordata; Mammalia; Rodentia; Cricetidae. The record is from Rfam by way of RNAcentral.
AGGGAUAUAGCUCAGUUGGUAGAGUGCUUGCCUGGAAUGUCUGAAGCCCUGGGUUCAAUCCCCAGCAUCACAU